UUUUACUGGAACAAAAUACAAUUAGCGCCCAAAAUGCCUUACGCCCAAACUACUAGCGCGCGACCCCCGUUCUCUAACCCUAGAAGCCAAUCUCUUCCCUGUUCUUUUUGCUAAUCUCUUUCCCCUCUUCCCUAUAAUUCUUUGAACUGCCAAUCUCUUCCCCCUCUUACCCUAGCCUUUGAGGAGAGUUAUUCAUCAACAUACAUUUUCUCUGGACUUCCAGCGAUUUGAGGUAUGUAAAAACUACCAAUCUCUUCCCCUAAUGACGUUCUCUUGCUUUUCUUUCUUUGCCUUGUGAGAUUUAGGGUUAGAGAACAUAAAUAGAAGGGGGAAAGCUUCUUUUGAGGAAAGGAAAGUUGAGGAAAGGAGGAAGGCGAGGAUGUGAAGGAAGAUGGAGAGGAUGGAGAGCUUCCUGAAGCGGAACUUUAAGGUGGUGCACAAGAACCCGUCAGAGGACGCGCAACCCCAGUGGCAGAGGGCCAUCGGUGCCUUCAUCAAGAAUUGUUGACGCUGCUUCCACAUGGUCCCUGAUCUCGACAAGCAAUCGGUCGUCGAGGCUAAGAAGCUAAAGAUCCAGGUCAUGAUUAUUUUGAUUCUAUGGCAUUUUCUCUCUUUUAUUACUAAUGGAGUUGAAGAAUGCUCGGUCUUGCUUUUCAUAGAUAAUCUUAAACAAAAUGGUAGUGUUGAAUAUGGAUAUUAUAUGAUGCGGUACAUGAAAGAGAUAGUCUUGGAUGAAGAUUCACAAUUAUAGAGAAAGUUUGCAGCAUAAAAAAAUAGACAGUAUUACAAUCAAUCUCAGUAUAAUGAAGUCAAAA
Zingiber officinale is the source of this 815-nucleotide long non-coding RNA. RefSeq lists it as uncharacterized. The record is from RefSeq and is a predicted model, not a curated record. NCBI's taxonomy places the organism in Eukaryota, Viridiplantae, Streptophyta, Magnoliopsida, Zingiberales, Zingiberaceae. The transcript is spliced from 4 exons.